UACGUAGGGGGCGAGCGUUGUCCGGAUUUAUUGGGCGUAAAGAGCUCGUAGGCGGCUUGUCGCGUCGACUGUGAAAACCCGUGGCUCAACCAUGUGGUCUGCAGUCGAUACGGGCAGGCUAGAAUUCGGUAGGGGAGACUGGAAUUCCUGGUGUAGCGGUGAAAUGCGCAGAUAUCAGGAGGAACACCGGUGGCGAAGGCAGGUCUCUGGGCCAUUACUGACGCUGAGAAGCGAAAGCAUGGGGAGCGAACAGG
RNAcentral lists this ribosomal RNA (254 nucleotides) under uncultured bacterium. RNAcentral describes it as "partial 16S ribosomal RNA". It matches the Rfam family "Bacterial small subunit ribosomal RNA", at positions 524 to 776 of the family's 1533-position model. The record is from RNAcentral.